CUGUGCUCUUUCAAAUCAUUGAAGAAUUCUAACCAUUUAAAAAGCUGGGAGCCUAAAACUCCACAGAAGAUACUGUAACUUCAAACACAACGAAUAAAGCUUUGAUGAGAGGUAAUCUUCACCGCGUGACUAAGACACAGUGCAACAGGCUGGCUGGACGAUGCUGAUGAAGUGAGGCAAUAAAAGCAACUGAAAUUAACUCAC
Long non-coding RNA from Thunnus maccoyii (southern bluefin tuna), 204 nucleotides. RefSeq lists it as uncharacterized. The record is from RefSeq and is a predicted model, not a curated record. The transcript is spliced from 3 exons. NCBI's taxonomy places the organism in Eukaryota, Metazoa, Chordata, Actinopteri, Scombriformes, Scombridae.